RNAcentral lists this unclassified non-coding RNA (428 nucleotides) under Hevea brasiliensis (rubber tree). The record is from RNAcentral. Lineage: Eukaryota; Viridiplantae; Streptophyta; Magnoliopsida; Malpighiales; Euphorbiaceae.
GUACGACAACGAAUGGGGUUACAGCAACCGAGUUUUGGACUUGAUUUUGAAAAUGUCAUCACACUUCAGUAAAGAUGGUAGUUCAGUUGUUGGUGGCGCUGUCGGUGAUGAUCCUUUUGAGAAGAUAAAAUACUAGUUCUGAAUGGAGUCUGUCACGCUGUGUUUUCAUGUUUCUCGGACAAUGCUCCUCGUUUAAAAUAACAAAUAAAUCUCCACCUUUUUUACUAUGACACGUAGCUUCCAUCCAAAUGGGAAAUUUGGGAAAGUGGAGAGAAAAAGUAAUGGAGAGGAGCCCCGACCAUGUUUCUCAAUUUGGUCAGGAUGUAUCUUAAGUAGUGAUCCUGAAUUGAACUGUCUACUGUGUUUUUGGGGCUUUUACAGAUAAAAUCUGAACUCUUCUAUUUAUGAGCCCAGAAGUUUGUAAUAAG